Molecule: ribosomal RNA, 413 nt
Filed under: Pseudomonas sp.
Lineage: Bacteria; Pseudomonadati; Pseudomonadota; Gammaproteobacteria; Pseudomonadales; Pseudomonadaceae
Description: bacterial SSU rRNA
Rfam family: Bacterial small subunit ribosomal RNA
Source: RNAcentral
GUCGAGCGGAUGAGAGGAGCUUGCUCCUUGAUUUAGCGGCGGACGGGUGAGUAAUGCCUAGGAAUCUGCCUGGUAGUGGGGGAUAACGUUCCGAAAGGAACGCUAAUACCGCAUACGUCCUACGGGAGAAAGCAGGGGACCUUCGGGCCUUGCGCUAUCAGAUGAGCCUAGGUCGGAUUAGCUAGUUGGUGAGGUAAUGGCUCACCAAGGCGACGAUCCGUAACUGGUCUGAGAGGAUGAUCAGUCACACUGGAACUGAGACACGGUCCAGACUCCUACGGGAGGCAGCAGUGGGGAAUAUUGGACAAUGGGCGAAAGCCUGAUCCAGCCAUGCCGCGUGUGUGAAGAAGGUCUUCGGAUUGUAAAGCACUUUAAGUUGGGAGGAAGGGCAUUAACCUAAUACGUUAGUGUUU